AUUGAUAAAAUUAAAAGAAUUGGAUUGAAUUGAAAAUCUGCUCAAAGUUCCGGUUUUUGAGACUAUUAGACCUAAAUUACUGAUUGGCUCUCCUUGUAACUGUCUUCUCACUGAUAGACGUCACAUCCAAUUUCCUCCACUAGUCUUUCAUUUUACAGAGUUCUCUAUUGCUACAUGUUAGAUUUGCUAACCUUUCAUAAAAAGCAAUAAUCAUAUUUCACAAUUAGCUUUAAUCAGACUCAGAGUCAAAUGUGGUAUCUGACUGAGCCAGCAACUUCUGGUAAUUAGCAGGUCUGAAUUUUUCGUACUGUUGAUUACUUGAGUUCAUCUUCAUUUUGACAGGCAACAUUUUAGUCAUAAAAAGUAGAGGUGCCAAACUAAGCAUGUACGAAGAUCACAGACACCCACCAUACACAGUGACAUGUAACACCCUACCGUUGAGCCACAUUAGCCCAAUCCUGUAUAGGUCAUGACGCAAAUCACUUUCU
Molecule: unclassified non-coding RNA, 488 nt
Filed under: Hevea brasiliensis (rubber tree)
Lineage: Eukaryota; Viridiplantae; Streptophyta; Magnoliopsida; Malpighiales; Euphorbiaceae
Source: RNAcentral